Molecule: ribosomal RNA, 503 nt
Filed under: Rhinella marina group sp. ABGD cluster 38
Lineage: Eukaryota; Metazoa; Chordata; Amphibia; Anura; Bufonidae
Description: partial large subunit ribosomal RNA
Rfam family: Bacterial large subunit ribosomal RNA
Source: RNAcentral
GCCUGCCCAGUGACCAUGUUCAACGGCCGCGGUAUCCUAACCGUGCGAAGGUAGCGUAAUCACUUGUUCUUUAAAUGUGGACUAGUAUGAAUGGCACCACGAAGGUUAUACUGUCUCCUUUUUCUAAUCAGUGAAACUAAUCUCCCCGUGAAGAAGCGAGGAUAUACCUAUAAGACGAGAAGACCCUAUGGAGCUUUAAACAACACAGCAAUUACCUGCUAAACUAAGAAGUUUCUGAACAUUUUCAAUCUUUUAAGUAAUCUGACUGCAAGUUUUUGGUUGGGGUGACCACGGAGCAUAACACAACCUCCAUGUUGAAAGAAUUCUUUCUAAGCCAAGAACAACCUUUCUAAGCAUCAAUAUAUUGACAUCCAUUGACCCAAUACAUUUGACCAACGAACCAAGUUACCCUAGGGAUAACAGCGCAAUCCACUUCAAGAGCUCCUAUCGACAAGUGGGUUUACGACCUCGAUGUUGGAUCAGGGUAUCCCAGUGGUGCAGCC